Molecule: ribosomal RNA, 361 nt
Filed under: uncultured bacterium
Lineage: Bacteria
Description: bacterial SSU rRNA
Rfam family: Bacterial small subunit ribosomal RNA
Source: RNAcentral
AGCGAACGCUGGCGGCAGGCCUAACACAUGCAAGUCGAGCGCCCAGCAAUGGGAGCGGCAGACGGGAGAGUAACACGUGGGAACGUGCCUUUUGGUUCGGAAUAACUCAGGGAAACUUGAGCUAAUACCGGAUAAGCCCUUACGGGGAAAGAUUUAUUGCCAAAAGAGCGGCCCGCGUCCGAUUAGCUAGUUGGUGAGGUAAUGGCUCACCAAGGCGACGAUCGGUAGCUGGUCNGAGAGGAUGACCAGCCUCAUUGGGACUGAGACACGGCCCAAACUCCUACGGGAGGCAGCAGUGGGGAAUAUUGGACAAUGGGCGCAAGCCUGAUCCAGCCAUGCCGCGUGAGUGAUGAAGGCCUUA